This 1295-nucleotide long non-coding RNA is filed under the name Cyanistes caeruleus (blue tit). Its description in RNAcentral is "lncRNA (ENSCCEG00000014394.1)". The record is from RNAcentral. Lineage: Eukaryota; Metazoa; Chordata; Aves; Passeriformes; Paridae.
GUGUGUCUGCAGGGAGGACUUUCCCAGCUCCUUUGCUGAUUGGUGUGCAGAAGCCCCACUUCCAUCGCAGGGGUCCUCCAAGUGACAAAGACAAACGUACAGGAGAGAAGGAAUCAAACAACAUCCAGAAACAAAUUGUGGACGAACUGCAGAAAGGGCCUGACAUGGACAUACAGGUUCUGUGGAAGGCAGCAUUUCCUGCAGGCAGCAGUCACUCGUCGGCAGCCUCUGCUGCAGGAAGGAAUGGGAUGGCACACAUGAGUACGGGCCCAGACACAGGAGAUUUGGUUGCUGGGAAGGCUCCUCCAUUAGCCUUGAGAUAUGAAGAUUUGAAGCCCUCUGGGCCACCUGCAGUUACAGGUGUGUCUGCAGACAGGAUUUCCCCAGCUCCUGGGCUGGAUGCUGCACAAAAGCCUGACUCCCAUCACAGGGAAAAGACCAAAUACACCUCAGAGAAGAAAUCCCAGGAGCGAUUUGAAGUCAUGUGGAAAAUGCUGAAGGAAUUCAAGCAGGGAGCACAAGAAGUGGAUGAAGAGGCUGUGCUGAAGGCGGUGUUUCCUGGAGGAAACAGUGGUUCACUGGCAGCCUCUGCUGCAGGAAGGGAGGCCAUGCCAGGCACAGUCCCAGGAGAUUGGGAUCGUGAUAUGGAUUAUGUGGAAGCCCUGGUGGAAAAUGGCUUGAAAUUCUUGGAGGAUAUUGGAGCCAAGCCGCUUGGUGAAGGUGAUGCAGCUUCUCAACCCAUACCCAGGACUGAGCCUCAGGGAGGUGGUGAGGUUACAGGUGUGUCUGCAGGGAGCACUUCCCCAGAUCUUGAGGUGGUUACUGCACCCAAGCCCGGCUCCCAUCGCAGGGGUCCUCCAAAAAGAAAGACCCAAGAUAAUGGAACCAAAAAGUCUGUAUUGUCAAAUGAUUUCCUGAGACCAACAAAGAAAGAAGUGCAGGGAGGACAAGCCGGCACCACAACUCAUGCUCAGAAUAUCUGGGAAAGCAUGAGAAGAAUUUUCAGCCUGGGAACACAUGGUUUGAUUAAGCUAAUGGCCAUUUUGGUUGCUGGAGCCCUUUUUCUGAUGAUGUGCUGUGCUGGAAUCUGGUAUUGUUGGAACAGAAAAGGGAGCAUGUCUGCACCUUCAGAAGACCAGCCAAAGACUCCACUCAGCGAGAAGCUGACCUGUCAUCCCUGGUCUUUAAAUCUGUCCCCAUCUGCUGUGCUGCAGCCCCAUUUUGAGGGUGUCCCAAAACCUAUACCCUCCAAAGCUAAACCCUAUGCCCCAGACCCCCCUGGAUCUGCUCCCUAG